Corapipo altera (White-ruffed manakin) is the source of this 967-nucleotide long non-coding RNA. RefSeq lists it as uncharacterized. The record is from RefSeq and is a predicted model, not a curated record. The transcript has 6 exons. NCBI's taxonomy places the organism in Eukaryota, Metazoa, Chordata, Aves, Passeriformes, Pipridae.
CGGGAACGUGGCGGCCAUCUUGGAGCUGGACGAGCACCUGCAGAAGGAGUUCAUCAUCUUCGAGGCGGCGCCGCAGGAGACGCGCGGCAUCCCCGCCAAGAAACCCGUGGCCGACUACUUCCUGUGACCCACCUGGGCACAGGUGACACCCCUGGGACACGCCCCGGGCGGGUGGCACACCCCGGGCACACCUGGGGCAGGUGACGCCUCACCUGGGUCAGGGGUCACACCUGGAACUCACCUGGGCUGGGUGACACAGCCCGGGUGCACCUGGGGCAGGUGACACCUCACCUGGGUCAGAGGUGACACUCCUGGGUCAGGGGUCACACCUGGGACACACCCGGGGCAGGUGACACACCUCGGGCACACCUGGGGCAGGUGACACCUCACCUGGGUCAGGGGUCACACCUGGGACACGCCCAGGCUGGGUGGCACACCCCGGGCACACCUGGGGCAGGUGACGUCUCACCUGGGGUCACAGGUGACACUCCUGGAUCAGGGGUCACACCUGGGACACGCCCGGAGCAGGUGAUGCCUCACCUGGGUCGGGGUCACACGUGGGACACGCCCUGGGCUGGUGACACACCCUGGGCACACCUGGGGCGGGUGACGCCUCACCUGGCUCAGGGGUCACAGCUGGGACACGCCCGGGGCAGGUGACACCUCACCUGGCUCAGGGGUCACAGCUGGGACACACUUGGGGCAGGUGACACCUCACCUGGCUCAGGGGUCACACCUGGGACACGCCCCAGGCUGGGUGACACACCCCAGGCACACCUGGGGCAGGUGACACCUCACCUGGCUCAGAGGUCACACCUGGGUCAGAGGUCACACCUGGGACAUGCCCGGGGCAGGUGACACACCUCGGGCACACCUGGGGCAGGUGACGCCUCACCUGGCUCAGGGGUCACACCUGGGACUCACCCGGGGCAGGUGACACCUCACCUGGGUCAGGGGUCACACCUGG